This 86-nucleotide microRNA precursor is filed under the name Bombyx mori (domestic silkworm). RNAcentral describes it as "mir-2807 microRNA precursor family". It matches the Rfam family "mir-2807 microRNA precursor family". Lineage: Eukaryota; Metazoa; Arthropoda; Insecta; Lepidoptera; Bombycidae. The record is from Rfam by way of RNAcentral.
UUAACUCAAAUUUGUAUGGAAUGGGAUCGUUUGCGUACGUUUGCCGCUUGGGAUGCUGUUCCAACUGCACAUACAAAACUGGGUUA